Prionailurus viverrinus (fishing cat) is the source of this 1481-nucleotide long non-coding RNA. RefSeq lists it as uncharacterized. Lineage: Eukaryota; Metazoa; Chordata; Mammalia; Carnivora; Felidae. The record is from RefSeq and is a predicted model, not a curated record. The transcript has 3 exons.
AAGAAGGCCCCUUGGUGGUAGCAAUGCUGCGGGUCUGGAGAGGGGUGACCUCAAGUAGCAAAGGUGUAGAGCAUGGAAGCAGUGAUAGAAAAUAAGGCUCUGGUUGUUCAAAAUCCAAAGGGGCAUGACAAACUAUAAUGAGUGGGAAUGAUUAACUGAGGGCUAAUUCUAAUCAGUGCCUUAUCAAAAGGAAUACCAUCAGAACAGCAAAAUGGAAAAAAAGAACCAAGAUGACCUUCUUGUUCUUAUUUCUGAUAUGUAACAUCUAAGGGGCCUUUUGUAACCUCUGAGGUAGAAAGUCCUUAGGUACUUCUUUGCUGUCCAGAUUGUGUGAGACCUUUUUGCCCAACCCUACACAUAUAUAGUCCAUCUUUUGGGCAUCCUUUUUGGCACCAUCUGGCACAUACACAGAAGGCCUUUCCAACUUUUUGAUCCUGCUUGGGAAGCAGACAGGGAAGCUAGCAUUAGUGGGGGCUAGUCCAGAACCUGCUUUCAGCAGAGAGGAAAUACUCAUACAAGCUGCCAGGAUCAAUCUGUCUUUACAGGACCAUUUUAUAUGGAAAUAAUGGAAAUUUAAGAAAGUUUCUACUGACUUAGGAGUUCAUGUCCUUCAACUUCUGAGUCUGCUCUAAGCUCUAAGGCAUCCAGCCUGCACCUUGGUUCUCUACCCAAAAAAGCCAGAAGAAAAUCUUUGCUCAGAGACUUCUUUAAAACUUCACAAUCGUAUCAUGUGUACAGCUGUACUGUUAGCAUCACAGCUGACUGGAGGGGAUGAAGAAGCAUUGGCAGAAAGCAAGAUCCACUGUAAAGACUGACUGGAAAGCAGGAAGAGAAAGAGGGACAAAUGACACUACCCAGGAGACCAUGCUGCUACAGAUGCCCCACUCCACCUCAUGAGAAGGAGAAAAGCAAGCACAAAUCAGUGUGAUCCCUGGCACCUCUACACGAUGAAGACAAAAACACCUUCCAGGGUCUGUUAUGGGCUCACUAGCUAAGCAGCUGUGCUUUACACCAUUUGCACCUGCAGAUACACCUUCCAUGUGGCAACGACUCACCAGGAUGGUGUCUUCAAGAAAAGGGCAACAUCACCUUGAAUUACGAUUUUAAAAUACAAGGAAAAGCAGAAUAUAUUUAUGUUCUUUGACAUAUGUCAACGCAUAAAUGUGUAAAUAUAUCUUACAAAGAGACAAAAUUUUUAAAACGUUUCCCAUGUUUAAAGGAUCAACCUUGAGUGAACUAUGAGAACGCAGCUUCCCAGAAGGAUGCGUCCCCUGGAAAUUCUGGAAAGCUGAUAUUUUCCUUUAGGUUCUUCUUGAGUUCAGUAAUGUGAUAGGUCAUCUUUCUGUGUCUAUAUGAGUAAAAAGAACAGAGUUUCAUGGCCCUGUGGUAUAAAUCAUAAACACCGAAAGCAGUGAUGUCCAAUUAGGAAGGAGAUGUCAAAGCUUACAGUGCUUAAUGAAAGACAGGACAUCAUUGAACCA